RNAcentral lists this ribosomal RNA (519 nucleotides) under uncultured eukaryote. RNAcentral describes it as "SSU rRNA". It matches the Rfam family "Eukaryotic small subunit ribosomal RNA", at positions 1161 to 1704 of the family's 1831-position model. The record is from RNAcentral.
AGGGCACCACCAGGAGUGGAGCCUGCGGCUUAAUUUGACUCAACACGGGAAAGCUCACCCGGCCCGGACACCGUAAGGAUUGACAGAUUGAGAGCUCUUUCUUGAUUCGGUGGUUGGUGGUGCAUGGCCGUUCUUAGUUGGUGGAGCGAUUUGUCUGGUUUAUUCCGAUAACGAACGAGACUCUGGCCUACUAAAUAGUGACAGGAUUAUUACUGUCUUGGAUACUUCCUAGAGGGACAAGUGGUUUUCAGCCACACGAAAUUGAGCAAUAACAGGUCUGUGAUGCCCUUAGAUGUCCGGGGCUGCACGCGCGCUACACUGAAGGAAUCAGCGUGCUAAAACCAUUGUCGAAAGGCAUUGGUAAACCCAUUAAAAUCCUACGUGAUUGGGAUCGGGAAUUGCAAUUAUUUCCCUUGAACGAGGAAUUCCCAGUAAGUGUGGGUCAUAAGCUCGCGUUGAUUACGUCCCUGCCCUUUGUACACACCGCCCGUCGCUGCCCGGGACUGAGCCGUUUCGAGA